This 465-nucleotide ribosomal RNA is filed under the name uncultured bacterium. RNAcentral describes it as "bacterial SSU rRNA". It matches the Rfam family "Bacterial small subunit ribosomal RNA", at positions 338 to 795 of the family's 1533-position model. The record is from RNAcentral.
CCUACGGGAGGCAGCAGUAGGGAAUCUUCGGCAAUGGACGAAAGUCUGACCGAGCAACGCCGCGUGAGUGAAGAAGGUUUUCGGAUCGUAAAACUCUGUUGGUAGAGAAGAACGUUGGUGAGAGUGGAAAGCUCAUCAAGUGAUGGUAACUACCCAGAAAGGGACGGCUAACUACGUGCCAGCAGCCGCGGUAAUACGUAGGUCCCGAGCGUUGUCCGGAUUUAUUGGGCGUAAAGCGAGCGCAGGUGGUUUAUUAAGUCUGGUGUAAAAGGCAGUGGCUCAACCAUUGUAUGCAUUGGAAACUGGUAGACUUGAGUGCAGGAGAGGAGAGUGGAAUUCCAUGUGUAGCGGUGAAAUGCGUAGAUAUAUGGAGGAACACCGGUGGCGAAAGCGGCUCUCUGGCCUGUAACUGACGCUGAGGCGCGAAAGCGUGGGGAGCAAACAGGAUUAGAUACCCGAGUAGUC